CUUAAACUGAACUUUUUCCUUUAAUUAGGAUUAGGAUUUUAAACCCUAAACUGAAAUCUUCCAUUUAGUCAGCAUUAGGGUGUCAAACCUUAAACUGAACUUUUUCCUUUAAUCAGAAUUAGGGUUUUAAACCCUAAACUAAACUCUUUCCUUUAGUCAGCAUUAAGGUUUUAAACCCUAAACUGAACUUUUCCUUUAGUCAGCAUUAGGGUUUUAAACCCUAAACUGAACUUUUUCCUUUAGUCAGUAUUAUGGUUUUAAACCCUAAACUGAACUCUUUCUUUUAUUCAGCAUUAGGGUUUUAAACCCUAAACUGAACUUUUCCUUUAGUCAGCAUUAGGGUUUUAAAACCCUAAACUAAACUUUUCCCUUCAGCAUUAGGGUUUUAAACCCUAAACUGAACUCUUUUCCUUCAGUCAGCAUUAGGGUUUUAAAUCCUAAACUGAACUUUUUCCUUUAGUCAUCAUUAGGGUUUUAAACCCUAAACUGAACUCUUUUCCUUUAGUCAGCAUUAGGGUUUUAAACCCUAAACUGAACUUUUUCCUUCAGUCAGCGUUAGGGUUUUAAACCAUAAACUGAACUCUUU
This 586-nucleotide long non-coding RNA is filed under the name Nicotiana tabacum (common tobacco). Its description in RNAcentral is "long non-coding RNA (NTAB_LNC003187)". The record is from RNAcentral. Lineage: Eukaryota; Viridiplantae; Streptophyta; Magnoliopsida; Solanales; Solanaceae.